UGACGCAGCAACGCCGCGUGAUCGAAGAAGGUCUUCGGAUUGUAAAGAUCUUUUAUCAGGGACGAAGAAAGUGACGGUACCUGAUGAAUAAGCUCCGGCUAACUACGUGCCAGCAGCCGCGGUAAUACGUAGGGAGCGAGCGUUAUCCGGAUUUACUGGGUGUAAAGGGCGAGUAGGCGGGCUGGUAAGUUGGAAGUGAAAUGUCGGGGCUUAACCCCGGAACUGCUUUCAAAACUGCUGGUCUUGAGUGAUGGAGAGGCAGGCGGAAUUCCUAGUGUAGCGGUGAAAUGCGUAGAUAUUAGGAGGAACACCAGUGGCGAAGGCGGCCUGCUGGACAUUAACUGACGCUGAGGAGCGAAAGCGUGGGGAGCAAACAGGAUUAGAUACCCUGGUAGUCCACGCCGUAAACGAUGGAUACUAGGUGUGGGAGGUAUUGACCCCUUCCGUGCCGCAGUUAACACAAUAAGUAUCCCACCUGGGGAGUACGACCGCAAGGUUGAAACUCAAAGGAAUUGACGGGGGCCCGCACAAGCAGUGGAGUAUGUGGUUUAAUUCGAAGCAACGCGAAGAACCUUACCUGGUCUUGACAUCCCGGUGACCGGCAUAGAGAUAUGCCCUUCCCUUCGGGGACAGCGGUGACAGGUGGUGCAUGGUUGUCGUCAGCUCGUGUCGUGAGAUGUUGGGUUAAGUCCCGCAACGAGCGCAACCCUUAUUGUUAGUUGAUACAUUUAGUUGAUCACUCUAGCGAGACUGCCGUUGACAAAACGGAGGAAGGUGGGGACGACGUCAAAUCAUCAUGCCCCUUAUGACCAGGGCUACACACGUACUACAAUGGCAGACAUACAGAGGGAAGCAAAGCUGUGAGGCAGAGCAAAUCCCUAAAAGCUGUCCCAGUUCAGAUUGCAGGCUGCAACCCGCCUGCAUGAAGUCGGAAUUGCUAGUAAU
Molecule: ribosomal RNA, 945 nt
Filed under: uncultured bacterium
Lineage: Bacteria
Description: bacterial SSU rRNA
Rfam family: Bacterial small subunit ribosomal RNA
Source: RNAcentral